GACGAACGCUGGCGGCGUGCCUAAUACAUGCAAGUAGAACGCAGUUGCGAACGGGUGAGUAACGCGUAGGUAACUGCCUCAUAGCGGGGGAUAACUAUUGGAAACGAUAGCUAAUACCGCAUACUGUGAGCUGGACCUGCGUUGUAUUAGGUAGUUGGUGAGGUAAAGGCGCACCAAGGCGACGAUACAUAGCCGAGCUGAGAGGGGGGUCCGCCAAACCGGGAAUGGGACCCGGCCCAGACUCCUACGGGAGGGAGCCGUAGGGAAACUUCGGAAAUGGACGGAAGUCUGACCGAGCAACGCCGCGGUAGUGAAGAAGGGUUUCGGGGCGUUAAGCUAUGUUGUGAGAGAAGCGGUAACUAAAGAGAAAGGAACGGCUAACUACGUGCCAGCAGCCGCGGUAAUAC
Molecule: ribosomal RNA, 407 nt
Filed under: uncultured bacterium
Lineage: Bacteria
Description: partial 16S ribosomal RNA
Rfam family: Bacterial small subunit ribosomal RNA
Source: RNAcentral